GACGAACCUUGCUAACGUUAUUCGGAAUUACUGGGCUUAAAGGGUGCGUAGGCGGUGCAGCAAGUCGGGUGUGAAAGCCCUCAGCUCAACUGAGGAAGUGCGCCCGAAACUGCAGAGCUUGAGUGCCGGAGAGGGUGGCGGAAUUCCCCAAGUAGAGGUGAAAUUCGUAGAUAUGGGGAGGAACACCGGUGGCGAAGGCGGCCACCUGGACGGUAACUGACGCUGAGACGCGAAAGCGUGGGGAGCAAACAGG
This 253-nucleotide ribosomal RNA is filed under the name uncultured bacterium. Its description in RNAcentral is "partial 16S ribosomal RNA". It matches the Rfam family "Bacterial small subunit ribosomal RNA", at positions 524 to 776 of the family's 1533-position model. The record is from RNAcentral.